GAUGAAGAACGUAGCGAAAUGCGAUAAGUAAUGUGAAUUGCAGAAAUCAGUGAAUCAUCGAAUCUUUGAACGCACAUUGCGCCCGCCAGUAUUCUGGCGGGCAUGCCUGUUCGAGCGUCAUUACAACCCUCAGGCCCCCGGGCCUGGCGUUGGGGAUCGGCGGAGCCCCCCGUGGGCACACGCCGUCCCCCAAAUGCAGUGGCGGUCCCGCCGCAGCUUCCAUCGCGUAGUAGCUAACACCUCGCGACUGGAGAGCGGCGCGGCCACGCCGUAAAACACCCAACUCUUCUGAAGUUGACCUCGAAUCAGGUAGGAAUACCCGCUGAACUUAAGCAUAUCAAUAAGCGGAGGA
This 352-nucleotide unclassified non-coding RNA is filed under the name soil metagenome. RNAcentral describes it as "partial contains 5.8S ribosomal RNA, internal transcribed spacer 2, and large subunit ribosomal RNA". The stretch from base 1 to 120 matches the Rfam family "5.8S ribosomal RNA", at positions 35 to 154 of the family's 154-position model. The record is from RNAcentral.